RNAcentral lists this long non-coding RNA (680 nucleotides) under Mytilus galloprovincialis (Mediterranean mussel). The record is from RNAcentral. Lineage: Eukaryota; Metazoa; Mollusca; Bivalvia; Mytilida; Mytilidae.
GGCUGAUACUGUCAGUCAUUAUCAUGACAAGCCAUUAUGCACAAAAGGCGGGGCAUAUUCCGUUCUUUGCCAUAAUUUUCUGGCUUGAUGUUCUCCAAUCAUACUACAAACUGAUAAGAACUCUCACCGAUUUGGCCCGAAAGCUUUUUAACGACUGAGUGCGUUUCUAAAAUUAUUCAUCCACAACACAAACGUAAAAAGAAUGUCAUAAUUGAUAGUUUUGCCUUUAACUACAUUUUCCAUGUACUUGAAGAUCUAUAGGUCCUUGUUAAUUAGAAAUGUGCAGGAAAAUCGAUCCAGCCGUAGGCUAGUCUGACCACAAAUCAAUAGCUAUUAUAGAAAAUUGCUAUUAGAUAUUCAGCAAGAUUGCUAACGCUUCAUUACAGAGCCCCUAUCUCAGUAAUACAUUUUCAAAAUUGUCUCUUUCAUUUGACAUACGCAUUCAGCCGACACAAGAAAACAGAUCCCCGGGGAAAAUAUCGUCGUUUGACUGAUCUUGUUGAAGUUCAGGGUGAAUUAGACAUCUAUAAAAAUACAUUUAAAGUGUUAUCUUUUUCGGUAUAAUAUCUUUGGUGUGUUAAAGGUCUAUCAUCUUCAGAUCAUUUCAAGUGUUUAUACAUUCACGUAUGCCUCGCAACAACCUACAUGGCAGUCAAAGUAGUUACUUACAUUUAUCUUCU